RNAcentral lists this ribosomal RNA (253 nucleotides) under uncultured bacterium. RNAcentral's name for it is "partial 16S ribosomal RNA". It matches the Rfam family "Bacterial small subunit ribosomal RNA", at positions 524 to 776 of the family's 1533-position model. The record is from RNAcentral.
UACGGGGGGGGCAAGCGUUGUUCGGAAUUACUGGGCGUAAAGGGUUUGUAGGUGGCUUGCUCAGUCAGACGUGAAAUCCCUCGGCCUAACCGAGGAACUGCGUCUGAUACUGCGGUGCUUGAGGAUCAGAGGGGUGCAUGGAAUUUCCGGUGGAGCGGUGAAAUGCGUUGAUAUCGGAAGGAACUCCGGCGGCGAAAGCGAUGCACUGGCUGAUUUCUGACGCUGAGGUGCGAAAGCCAGGGGAGCAAACGGG